Molecule: ribosomal RNA, 197 nt
Filed under: uncultured bacterium
Lineage: Bacteria
Description: partial 16S ribosomal RNA
Rfam family: Bacterial small subunit ribosomal RNA
Source: RNAcentral
ACGCUCGACACCUACGGGGGCAGCAGUGGGGAAUAUUGCACAAUGGGGGAAACCCUGAUGCAGCGACGCCGCGUGAAGGAAGAAGUAUUUCGGUAUGUAAACUUCUAUCAGCAGGGGAGAAAAUGACGGUACCUGACUAAGAAGCCCCGGCUAACUACGUGCCAGCAGCCGCGGUAAUCUGAGCGGGCUGGCAAGGC